GAUGAACGCUGGCGGCGUGCUUAACACAUGCAAGUCGAACGAUGAAGCCCAGCUUGCUGGGUGGCUUAUUGGCGAACGGGUGAGUAACACGUGAGUAACCUGCCCUUAACUCUGGGAUAAGCCUGGGAAACUGGGUCUAAUACCCGAUAGGAGCGUCCACCGCAUGGCUGUUGUUGGAAAGAUUUAUUGGUUUUGGAUGGACUCUCGGCCUAUCAGCUUUUUGGUGUGGUAAUGGCUCACCAAGGCGACGACGGGUAGCCGGCCUGAGAGGGUGACCGGCCACACUGGGACUGAGACACGGCCCAGACUCCUACGGGAGGCAGCAGUGGGGAAUAUUGCACAAUGGGCGCAAGCCUGAUGCAGCGACGCCGCGUGAGGGAUGACGGCCUUCGGGUUGUAAACCUCUUUCAGUAGGGAAGAAGCGAAAGUGACGGUACCUGCAGAAGAAGCACCGGCUAACUACGUG
RNAcentral lists this ribosomal RNA (466 nucleotides) under uncultured bacterium. RNAcentral describes it as "partial 16S ribosomal RNA". It matches the Rfam family "Bacterial small subunit ribosomal RNA", at positions 28 to 507 of the family's 1533-position model. The record is from RNAcentral.